GUUCAGCUAGCCGCCCGUAAAUUCAGGUUGAGUUUACUGUAUUAAGUAUUCAUCUCUUCAAUAGCAAAUUAAAAUAUAAAAAUAUCUAAAAGAUACCUGUUGCUUCAUUUAUUUCCUUUUUUGUGCAGAAUUUGAUGAUAGGGAACACAAGUACAAGUGACGGGGUCGUGGGCCCUGUGUCUCUACCAUACUGGUUAAUCAGUACAGCACCACGUCCACCAUUAACUAGAACAGCCCCAGAUGUCAAGAGGGGGGCACACUGGCGCCUCGCCGAUUUAGUAUCGAUACUAUAAUUUCUCUUGCUCAAUUCUAGCAAUAAAAUGUGUGUUUUCUACAUCUAAACAGAUGUCACUGGUAUGCUGAGAAAUGAUGAAGACGGCGAUCCACAUGGAGAUCAGUUUGAAGUAGCGAGGCAUCUUUGAGUUUCUGACAGCUGCGGACUGCUCCCGUUUUCAGUCACCUGUGCUUGAUCAACCCUAUAACUAGAUGAUGCUGCGCAGCAUCAAAAAAGGAUCAUCGAAAUUGUGUGGACGAGAUGAUUCGUGCUAACUGUCGAAGUUAAUUAGUGCCAGUGUGUAGAGAAACAGAGGAGAAAAACCUUUCAAGAUUUGUUUCUUCGUCUUCAAACGUCCAAUAAUUGAACUGAUUAUACGGUGUGGCAUUAUAUGCACAACCGGUUCACUUUAGUCCGAUACUUUGACUGACACUUAAUGAGGUUUUAAUGUUUGCAGCUAUUUUUAACUUCGAGGGUCUUCGUCUCCCUAACUUUCAGUGGGACAAUUGCGAGACCGUAUGCUUCACAAGCUAUCCUACAUUUCCUCAAUACACUUCGACUCCUGUUAGUUCGCGCAUUCUCCAAAUCUUUCACCAAAGAAAAUUGUCUGGUCACUGGUUCUGAGAGAUUGGCACGCUACAUCUGCCAGUGAAGUACAGACAAAAGUGGGCGGGACACAGGAAUUUCACCAUUUAUUUGUACAGAUAUUGUCGCAUUGUCUUCGGAAAACGGACGACGGUCUCCUACCCCUCUCCCCCUACCACCAACAAUUCGAAAGGAUUUUCGGCUAGCCAACAUUUAAAGUAUUCUUCUGCCAUAUAGACAGCAUUCACUUAAUUUCAUACAUGCCUUUUCCGAGAUUCGAACCUGGACUCAACGCUAUGGCAGCCUACAUCGCUAACCGCUAUAUCUGUUAGGAUGGCGGCAACAUCCCUCAUCCAGGAUAAUAAAAGAACUCUGGCAUAGAAAUGAAGCCGAAGAAAUGCAGUAUCACAAAAAAAAAAAAUCUGAAUUUGCUCAGUUGAGGCCCCAGCCCUAUAAAAGUUUUUAUUGUUACCAAAGGCGAAUGACUACUCGGGUUACUGAUUUCUGUAUAUUCUCAACAUCAAAAUUACCUAACAUUUUAAUUAUUUCAGCCUCUCAUUAAAACGUAUUUGAAAGUAAACAUCAUUAUACUAACGUUGGCAUGAAUAUAACCGCGUGUUUUCAAUGGUGUAGUAUUUUAACGGCGAGUAGUGUACUUCUAUAUGAGAGAAGACUUCUAAAUAAUAAGAGAAACAAAAUUUGAUUUCUCUUUGGAUGAGAGCAUUUAAAUUUCACUAGUUUGUAACACAAAUAUAAUUCAAGUAAUCUUACUUCUUUAAGUGUGCACAAAGGCAAAACAUUUUACCAAAAAAGUGGUUCAUUUCUUAAACGAACAAUGUUCAAAAUAUUAAAAAUACC
Molecule: long non-coding RNA, 1717 nt
Organism: Stegodyphus dumicola
Lineage: Eukaryota; Metazoa; Arthropoda; Arachnida; Araneae; Eresidae
Source: RefSeq, a predicted model, not a curated record